RNAcentral lists this long non-coding RNA (1329 nucleotides) under Medicago truncatula (barrel medic). RNAcentral's name for it is "lncRNA gene38445". Lineage: Eukaryota; Viridiplantae; Streptophyta; Magnoliopsida; Fabales; Fabaceae. The record is from RNAcentral.
CUUGCUGAUGCGUUAGUGUGGCCUCACACUUCAGAUGGAAAGUUAAAUUUGAGGCAUGCUUUUUCUUUUCUCCGUCCGAGGGCCCCUUUGCUGCCUUGGGCGGUUCUCAUAUGGAGUUCUUCUAUUCCACCUUCUCACUCUUGUAUUUAUUGGAGGCUUCAUCAUGGUAAGAUGCCCACGGAUGAUAAUCUUAGAAGUCGUGGCUGCAUUGUUGUGUCGAUUUGUAAUUUAUGCUUGAAAAUUGAUGAAACUUCUGAGCACCUUUUUAGCACCUUUUUCUUAGAUGCCAAUUUUCCAAGCAGCUUUGGGACUGGAUAGGUGUUAAGCUCAAUCGAGUUAUUGAUUGCUCUACAGUAGACUCGCUCAUCUCUUGUAGGCCGGUUAGGUGCUCAUUCCCAAGUGUCAGACAUUUUUUUGGCAUCAAUCUUGCACAGGUUGCACACUAUUUGGUGGGUUAGGAAUUCAUUGCGGUUUACAACAGUGACGCCAACUUUGCAUUCAGCCAAAGUCCGUAUUCAUUCCUUGAUUGCAAUGUCUGGUAAUAUCUCUAAGGGUAAGUGUUUACAGUCUGAUCUCGCUUUCCUUAAUUCUUUGGCGCUUUCCCCUCAUUGUCGUAGAGUCAAGGAUAUUAUUAUGGUUUUGUGGAAGGCCCCCACCGCUCCGUGGUUGAAGGUCAAAACGGAUGGUUCGAUGAUUGGUGGAUUUGCGGCAUGUGGGGGGCUGUUUCGUGACCACCUAGGCAUGUUCCUUAGUGCUUUUUCUUGCAACGUUGGCUUACAGUCUGUUUAUUAUGCGGAGGUUCUUGGUAUUAUUCUAGCCAUUGAGUUUGCUGCCCGGAAAGGGUGGAGGAACAUUUGGAUUGAGAGCGACUCCACAAGUGCUCUUAUGAUUUUUUCAAACCAUCUUUUGGUGCCUAUUAUGUUACGUAACAAAUGGCAUAAUGCUCGCAUUCUUGGAAUUCAGGUUAUUUCUUCUCACAUUUUCCGUGAAGGUAACUGUUGUGCAGACAAAUUAGCUAAUUUCGGUCACUCCAUGGUUGGUGAGAUAUGGCUAGACACCCUUCCUGAUGAGAUGAAGACUGAUUUCUUUAGGGACAGAUGCGGUUUACCUAACUAUAGAUUUCCAUAAUCUGUUUUCGGUUGUUUUGGUGUUUUUUCUGUUUCUUUUUAUUUGUUUACUUUUGAGGGUUUUUGUCUAGUCCCCCUACUUUUGUAUUUUUUUCCCUUUUUUUAAUAAAAUUUUGUGGAGUUUAGCAACACAGGAUGGAGAUAUCUCGGGAUGCCAAUCUAGUUGGGAUGUCGAUGAUGUCUGUAUAAUGCCUGUUCUUUC